This is a long non-coding RNA of Alexandromys fortis (reed vole), 1142 nucleotides long. RefSeq lists it as uncharacterized. Lineage: Eukaryota; Metazoa; Chordata; Mammalia; Rodentia; Cricetidae. The record is from RefSeq and is a predicted model, not a curated record. The transcript is spliced from 2 exons.
GGGAGAUGCAGGCAGACCAAAGGAGUCAGUGGUCAGGUUCUUCACCCUGGAGGCUCAUCACCUGUCCUCCACUCAGGAUGGCUGCAUCCACCUCACAGCCAUGGCCCUCCAGGGACAUCCACCCCACAGCCGUGGCCCUCCAGGGACAUCCACCCCACAGCCCCAUGGCCCUCCAGGGACAUCCACCCCACAGCCACAUGGACAGGGUCUUACCAUCUGUUCAUCCAGCAUCAGCCUCUCUCUCCACCUGCUUGACAACAUGGCCUCACCCACCUCCACUCAUCCACGCACUGUCCUUUCCUCCUUUUCUGCCUCCCGCCCUUGCUCCUUCCCUCUCUUUCCCACCUUCCUCUUUUCAUCCCUCUCAUUCUUACUUGCACCCUCUUCCUUCUUCCUCCCUCCCCCACUCCCCAUUACCUCUCCUUCCAUUCCUGUUUUUUAUUUUUUAAUAAAUAAUUUUAUUUUUAAUAAAUAAUUUAAUAUAAUUACCUCCUUCCUCUGUUUCUUAUUUUUUUAAUCAAAGUCUUAUUGAGCCCAGGCUGGCCUUUUAGCUUGUUAUGUAGCCAAGGAUGCCCUUGAACUUCUGGUCCUUCUUCCCCCACCUCAUUGCUGGGAAUAUAAGCACAAAGCACCAUGCCCAGUUUUCCUUUCUUCCUUCCCACCCGUCCCCUCUCCUUCUCUCCUGUCUACCCUUCCUUCUUUUCUCCCUCCAUCUCUUCAUCCCCCUGUCUCUCAGGUGAGUCAGCUCACCUGUCAUUCACCCGCCCAUUCAUUUACGUAUUGUUGCCCAUCCACUCAGUGUCCCUGCUGAGUGUCAGACACUCAGUGCUCAUCUUGAGCACCCUGACUUGGCACAUAGUUGCUAACUCCGAGUAAAUUCACAUUCUUCUGUCAGUUAGCUCCAAGCAUGAGGCCUGCGGGUGAGGAGCCGCUGACAUCAUCCUUGGCAUUAUUCUGGGCAUGCUAAACGGGAGGGCUGCGGAGUGCCAACCAUUUGAGGGAAGGCUGUGAUGGCAGAGAGGGGCGAGGGGGGAAGAGGGCUGUGGUGUGUCCCCACACUCACUGGGUUUGCGGUGGAGGAACUUUCCCUUGAUGUCUGUCUUCUCGUAUGUUCCCGAGAUCUCCUCGCAGACACCUCUCCU